RNAcentral lists this ribosomal RNA (411 nucleotides) under uncultured Gammaproteobacteria bacterium. RNAcentral describes it as "bacterial SSU rRNA". It matches the Rfam family "Bacterial small subunit ribosomal RNA", at positions 9 to 416 of the family's 1533-position model. Lineage: Bacteria; Pseudomonadati; Pseudomonadota; Gammaproteobacteria. The record is from RNAcentral.
GAGUUUGAUCCUGGCUCAGAGUGAACGCUGGCGGCAGGCCUAACACAUGCAAGUCGAACGGCAGCGCAGCAGUAGCAAUACUGUGGGCGGCGAGUGGCGGACGGGUGAGGAAUACAUCGGAAUCUACCUUGUCGUGGGGGAUAACGUAGGGAAACUUACGCUAAUACCGCAUACGACCUACGGGUGAAAGCGGCGGACCGCAAGGCGUCGCGCGAUUGGAUGAGCCGAUGUCCGAUUAGCUAGUUGGCGGGGUAAAGGCCCACCAAGGCGACGAUCGGUAGCUGGUCUGAGAGGAUGAUCAGCCACACUGGAACUGAGACACGGUCCAGACUCCUACGGGAGGCAGCAGUGGGGAAUAUUGGACAAUGGGCGCAAGCCUGAUCCAGCCAUGCCGCGUGUGUGAAGAAGGCC